GAUGAACGCUGGCGGCGUGCCUAAUACAUGCAAGUCGAGCGAACAGAUGAGGAGCUUGCUCCUCUGACGUUAGCGGCGGACGGGUGAGUAACACGUGGAUAACCUACCUAUAAGACUGGGAUAACUUCGGGAAACCGGAGCUAAUACCGGAUAAUAUAUUGAACCGCAUGGUUCAAUAGUGAAAGACGGUUUUGCUGUCACUUGUAGAUGGAUCCGCGCUGCAUUAGCUAGUUGGUAAGGUAAAGGCUUACCAAGGCAACGAUGCGUAGCCGACCUGAGAGGGUGAUCGGCCACACUGGAACUGAGACACGGUCCAGACUCCUACGGGAGGCAGCAGUAGGGAAUCUUCCGCAAUGGGCGAAAGCCUGACGGAGCAACGCCGCGUGAGUGAUGAAGGUCUUCGGAUCGUAAAACUCUGUUAUUAGGGAAGAACAAAUGUGUAAGUAACUAUGCACGUCUUGACGGUACCUAAUCAGAAAGCCACGGCUAACUACGUG
Molecule: ribosomal RNA, 497 nt
Filed under: uncultured bacterium
Lineage: Bacteria
Description: partial 16S ribosomal RNA
Rfam family: Bacterial small subunit ribosomal RNA
Source: RNAcentral